UGCUCUGUGUCUCUCCUUUAGUGAUAAAGUCUGUAAUGUGUAGGUAAAUGGCCAGAGUGGGGAUGACCCCACUUAUCAGCAGUUCAGGAGAGUGAUGGCAGUGGGAAUGAAGCGGUUCUUGUGUUUGGUGGUUUUUGUG
Long non-coding RNA from Etheostoma cragini (Arkansas darter), 139 nucleotides. RefSeq lists it as uncharacterized. NCBI's taxonomy places the organism in Eukaryota, Metazoa, Chordata, Actinopteri, Perciformes, Percidae. The record is from RefSeq and is a predicted model, not a curated record. The transcript is spliced from 3 exons.